Panicum virgatum (switchgrass) is the source of this 962-nucleotide RNA transcript. RefSeq lists it as uncharacterized. The transcript is spliced from 4 exons. The record is from RefSeq and is a predicted model, not a curated record. Lineage: Eukaryota; Viridiplantae; Streptophyta; Magnoliopsida; Poales; Poaceae.
AGAAUUAUAAAAAUAAAAAAAAAAGCCGGUCGAGGCGCUAUGGCAUUUGGAAGCCCACCAGCGGGGGAAGGCCCACCCGACCCCGGCCUUUUCCACCCAUGGGGCACGGCUCCCCCGUAUCGAGGGUCCGGGCGGCUCUUCCCCAGGGCGGCGCAAGAUGAGGGCAUCGCGAGGUGGCGCAAGGCGAGGGCAGCACGGAGGCGACGCCGUCUUCAGCGCUCGGGAACCGCCGCCGCCGUUGUCCACGCUCGGGAGCUGCCACACCGCUGCCGUCCGUGCUCGUCCUCCGCCUUCUGUCCUCGGCCGCCUCCGCCGUCGUCCGCGCUCGGUGGCCCCCGUCUUCCGUGCUCGGCCGCCUCCGCCGUCGUCCGCGCUUGGCGGCCCCCGUCUUCCGUGCUCGGCCGCCGCCACAACCCAUCCUUACCUCGUCCUCCGCCAACUGCGAUGUAGCGUUGUAUUGCGAGUGAACACAAUACCACUGAGUUGACAAAUCACAAGAAGAUGGCUGAACUCUACUCUUAUUUCAGUCAGCUGUUGCAAUCUUGCGGAGAAACAAAGAACUAUCUCUACAUAUCAGGGCAUGCAUGGGUCAACUACAGAUCCCUCAUUGACCAUUAUUGGUGUUAGCUUGAGUCUUGGUUUUUAGGGGUCGCUCUCCUCCUGGGAAUGAAGUUUGUGCCUUGCCAAAAAAUGAAUUUGAGGUUAGCGUUUGGGAGUGCCCCUUCAUUUUCUGGAUCUGUAGAGAACUGAAGAGCUUGUCUUGUUUGAGUUGAAAAUGUUAGGUGCAUCAGCUGGUAGUCUGCUGGUGUGCCAGUGUAUGUUUGAUCUUAAGCGUGAUGCUAUUUUAUCAUGUAUUAUCUGAAUUUUCAGACAUAAUAUAGUUUGCUAUGUGAAGACUGCACGUAUGUAUGGUGAUGCACACACAUUAUGAGAUCAGAAAAACGUUUUGCUUCAAGUAUAAA